RNAcentral lists this ribosomal RNA (1020 nucleotides) under Metarhizium cylindrosporum. Its description in RNAcentral is "SSU rRNA". It matches the Rfam family "Eukaryotic small subunit ribosomal RNA", at positions 75 to 1106 of the family's 1831-position model. The record is from RNAcentral. Lineage: Eukaryota; Fungi; Ascomycota; Sordariomycetes; Hypocreales; Clavicipitaceae.
UUAUCAGCGAAACUGCGAAUGGCUCAUUAUAUAAGUUAUCGUUUAUUUGAUAGUACCUUACUACUUGGAUAACCGUGGUAAUUCUAGAGCUAAUACAUGCUGAAAAUCCCGACUUCGGAAGGGAUGUAUUUAUUAGAUUAAAAACCAAUGCCCUCUGGGCUCUCUGGUGAUUCAUAAUAACUUCUCGAAUCGCAUGGCCUUGCGCCGGCGAUGGUUCAUUCAAAUUUCUUCCCUAUCAACUUUCGAUGUUUGGGUAGUGGCCAAACAUGGUUGCAACGGGUAACGGAGGGUUAGGGCUCGACCCCGGAGAAGGAGCCUGAGAAACGGCUACUACAUCCAAGGAAGGCAGCAGGCGCGCAAAUUACCCAAUCCCGAUUCGGGGAGGUAGUGACAAUAAAUACUGAUACAGGGCUCUUUUGGGUCUUGUAAUUGGAAUGAGUACAAUUUAAAUCCCUUAACGAGGAACAAUUGGAGGGCAAGUCUGGUGCCAGCAGCCGCGGUAAUUCCAGCUCCAAUAGCGUAUAUUAAAGUUGUUGUGGUUAAAAAGCUCGUAGUUGAACCUUGGGCCUGGCUGGCCGGUCCGCCUCACCGCGUGUACUGGUCCGGCCGGGUCUUUCCCUCUGUGGAACCCCAUGCCCUUCACUGGGUGUGGCGGGGAAACAGGACUUUUACUUUGAAAAAAUUAGAGUGCUCCAGGCAGGCCUAUGCUCGAAUACAUUAGCAUGGAAUAAUGAAAUAGGACGUGCGGUUCUAUUUUGUUGGUUUCUAGGACCGCCGUAAUGAUUAAUAGGGACAGUCGGGGGCAUCAGUAUUCAAUUGUCAGAGGUGAAAUUCUUGGAUUUAUUGAAGACUAACUACUGCGAAAGCAUUUGCCAAGGAUGUUUUCAUUAAUCAGGAACGAAAGUUAGGGGAUCGAAGACGAUCAGAUACCGUCGUAGUCUUAACCAUAAACUAUGCCGACUAGGGAUCGGACGAUGUUAUUUUUUGACUCGUUCGGCACCUUACGAGAAAUCAAAGUGC